CACUGUGAAUUUUAGAGGGGAUGAAGAACUAACAUGUUCCUGCCAUCUUACAGGGAGAUCGAGGGAAGGAUGGUUUGAAAGGUGAAAGAGGUCCUCCAGGCCCAAAGGGAGACCCUGGUCCACCAGGAAAAGGAGUGGAAAUGAAGGAUCUGGAGAGACUUUUUGAAGAAAAUGGUAUCAAGCUGGCAUUGUUGAAGGACCUCUCCAACGCAAUCCUGCAGGAGGGGCUGGAUUGGCUGAUGCAGCACUUGGGUAGCUCCAAGACCUCCAGGAGAAAGCAGGCACUUCCAUACACACCCAAACAUGACGGUUCAUUGACAGUUGAUACUUCUCAUGAUGUCCUGACCAGCACUGGGGUGACAGAAGAAGCACAGAGUCUGGCAGUGGACACUCCAUUUAGGGUGCUGGUGUCUGAAGGACUCCCUAAGGGUCCAUCUGCUGAUGGUUCUGACUCCGAGCACCAACUCCUGGGGAACACUCCUGAAUCAUUGGAGUCUGAGGAGAGAAGGAGAGAGGGAGACUCAAAAGUGACAAAUAUCUCUCUCAGCAGUAGCUUCUCUGUGCCCUCACCACAUCCAGAAGGUGAUCUGGAAGGAAACCUGUCCAUAGAGCUUCUUGAAUCCCUGGAGGAAAGAGUGGAAGGACAACCACAAGAGGACAACAGUCUUGAAAACAUGAGUUCAGAAGAUGGCUCUGCACUCCCAAGGCAUCCUAGAGCCAGGAGAUCAACCCAGCAUGACAGACACAUGGUAAAGCCCCAUUAUACCCCAAUGGCUUUGGGCUAGCAAUGUCUAAGAGCAGAGCCAUAAGGGAGUGGGG
Molecule: long non-coding RNA, 819 nt
Filed under: Phasianus colchicus (ring-necked pheasant)
Lineage: Eukaryota; Metazoa; Chordata; Aves; Galliformes; Phasianidae
Description: lncRNA (ENSPCLG00000014895.1)
Source: RNAcentral